GGAAAUCAAACUCCGAAUACCAAAAGCGAGUCCGGGAGAUAGACAGCGGGGGCUAAGCUUCGUUGUCGAGAGGGGAACAGCCCAGACCGCCGAUUAAGGUCCCAAAUUUUAUGCUAAGUGAGUAAGGAAGUGAUGAUUCUAAGACAGUUGGAAUGUUGGCUUAGAGGCAGCAAUCAUUUAAAGAGUGCGUAACAGCUCACCA
This 202-nucleotide ribosomal RNA is filed under the name uncultured Chlamydia sp. RNAcentral's name for it is "partial 16S ribosomal RNA". It matches the Rfam family "Bacterial large subunit ribosomal RNA", at positions 944 to 1147 of the family's 2925-position model. Lineage: Bacteria; Pseudomonadati; Chlamydiota; Chlamydiia; Chlamydiales; Chlamydiaceae. The record is from RNAcentral.